UACGUAGGGGGCAAGCGUUGUCCGGAAUUAUUGGGCGUAAAGCGCGCGCAGGCGGUUUUUUAAGUCUGGAGUUUAAACCUAGGGCUCAACCUUGGGUCGCUCUGGAAACUGGGGAACUGGAGUGUAGGAGAGGAAAGUGGAAUUCCACGUGUAGCGGUGAAAUGCGUAGAGAUGUGGAGGAACACCAGUGGCGAAGGCGACUUUCUGGCCUAUAACUGACGCUGAGGCGC
Molecule: ribosomal RNA, 230 nt
Filed under: uncultured microorganism
Description: partial 16S ribosomal RNA
Rfam family: Bacterial small subunit ribosomal RNA
Source: RNAcentral